Molecule: ribosomal RNA, 670 nt
Filed under: Peribacillus simplex
Lineage: Bacteria; Bacillati; Bacillota; Bacilli; Caryophanales; Bacillaceae
Description: bacterial SSU rRNA
Rfam family: Bacterial small subunit ribosomal RNA
Source: RNAcentral
CCCUGAGAUUAGCGGCGGACGGGUGAGUAACACGUGGGCAACCUGCCUAUAAGACUGGGAUAACUUCGGGAAACCGGAGCUAAUACCGGAUACGUUCUUUUCUCGCAUGAGAGAAGAUGGAAAGACGGUUUACGCUGUCACUUAUAGAUGGGCCCGCGGCGCAUUAGCUAGUUGGUGAGGUAAUGGCUCACCAAGGCGACGAUGCGUAGCCGACCUGAGAGGGUGAUCGGCCACACUGGGACUGAGACACGGCCCAGACUCCUACGGGAGGCAGCAGUAGGGAAUCUUCCGCAAUGGACGAAAGUCUGACGGAGCAACGCCGCGUGAACGAAGAAGGCCUUCGGGUCGUAAAGUUCUGUUGUUAGGGAAGAACAAGUACCAGAGUAACUGCUGGUACCUUGACGGUACCUAACCAGAAAGCCACGGCUAACUACGUGCCAGCAGCCGCGGUAAUACGUAGGUGGCAAGCGUUGUCCGGAAUUAUUGGGCGUAAAGCGCGCGCAGGUGGUUCCUUAAGUCUGAUGUGAAAGCCCACGGCUCAACCGUGGAGGGUCAUUGGAAACUGGGGAACUUGAGUGCAGAAGAGGAAAGUGGAAUUCCAAGUGUAGCGGUGAAAUGCGUAGAGAUUUGGAGGAACACCAGUGGCGAAGGCGACUUUCUGGUCUGUAAC